CUGUUUUGAGUUUCCUUUUGUAAGCAGAAAAUCGUCAAGCGAUUUAUUAUAGGUUCAAAUCCUGCCAAAAUAGUC
RNAcentral lists this transfer RNA (75 nucleotides) under Ulva fenestrata. RNAcentral's name for it is "tRNA-Leu". Lineage: Eukaryota; Viridiplantae; Chlorophyta; Ulvophyceae; Ulvales; Ulvaceae. The record is from RNAcentral.